AGACAGCAGUCGCCGCGGGAAUACAGAGGGUGCGAGCGUUAAUCGGAUUUACUGGGCGUAAAGCGUGCGUAGGCGGCUUUUUAAGUCGGAUGUGAAAUCCCUGAGCUUAACUUAGGAAUUGCAUUCGAUACUGGGAAGCUAGAGUAUGGGAGAGGAUGGUAGAAUUCCAGGUGUAGCGGUGAAAUGCGUAGAGAUCUGGAGGAAUACCGAUGGCGAAGGCAGCCAUCUGGCCUAAUACUGACGCUGAGGUACGAAAGCAUGGGGAGCAAACAGGAUUAGAUACCCGGGUAGUCCCUGUCUCUUAUAC
RNAcentral lists this ribosomal RNA (307 nucleotides) under uncultured bacterium. RNAcentral describes it as "partial 16S ribosomal RNA". It matches the Rfam family "Bacterial small subunit ribosomal RNA", at positions 506 to 807 of the family's 1533-position model. The record is from RNAcentral.